UCCACCCACUCGUUACAUUAAUGAAAUAAAUAAGUAAACGCAAUUUUUUCUUUUUUCUUUUUGAUAUUCGAAAAGACGCAAAAUAGUGCCGCGAAGCAGAAAAUUCUAGUUCAAUAAAAAAUUUACUAGUUUAAUAUGAGUAAAAAAUAUGAGCUACUGCAAAUAUAAAGUAACCUCAGUGAUUUUAUUACAGAAACAUUUUAUUGCCAGUUACAGUGUCUUCUCGAGAAUAGUGACUUUCAAUUACUGUGAAAAUUUUACGGCGGCAGCUUUAAAUGGAACAUGAAAAAUAAGUUUUCACCAUGGAAAUUGAAUAUUUAUAUUUAAUGGCUGUUUUAAAAGGUCUCUCUCUCUUUCUCUCUCUAAGCCUACAUUUUUAAUGUGAUGAAGUUUGCUUUUGGAAAUCACUAAAAAUUUCUACAGAAACUUGGAGUCGGCUGAUGUAACUUAACGCUUUGCAGCUCAAGAUAGCAAAAAUGCGAAAUGCCUUUGAAGAAGGAUUAAUUUAGAGUGUCGGUGUCGGUGUAGGUGAAUGAAGACUGCAUUGCUCGUGACAGCCAGAAAUGCAAGAUGUUGCAGUUCACCACACCAAAAGGAGGAAAGGAAAAAAUCUUAAAAAGAAAUUACCGAGUAAUGUGACUGUGCUAAGGAAUAAACGGGAUUAAAGCUGCUGGCAUCAGCUGUGACACAAAUUGCAAAACGUGCAAAUGUUGAAGCGAAUUCAAGAGAACUUUGGUCGUGGCGGAAAGCAGGAGGGACGAGCAAAUACAAGAAUAUAAUUUGUUAACAUCUAAUUGAACUUUGCAUCAACACCAACACCAACGGAUGUAUCACACUUAUAUACAUUUUGAGUUCAAAAGUACAUAUUUUAGUAAAGCACUAAAAAAUAGUGGUAGAUAAAGAUAUUAAGUUAUAAGCUAAAUUUUUAUCAUAGUAAUAAUCAUAAAAAGUUUAAUUAUAGGUUUAAAAAUAUAAAUUUUUAUGUUAUCUAUGAUACAAAAAUUGUUCAUAAAAUCUCUAAGAAACAUCUUCAUAUAUGUAUGUAAGGAUUUGUAUUAAUAUUAUUAUUAUUAUUAUUAUUAUUAAUUGCUAUUGCGUCGUCUUUGUAUAAGAAAAUUUCAAUCAAAAGAAGUAACUAGGAUCGAAUUUAAACCAGUUUACGAGUAUAUUCAAUUAAACUUCACUGCAAUAUGAAAAUUCCAAAAAAAAAAAAAGAAAAGUGUUACGUAAAAAAAUUAGAAAUAGUAUAUGAUUUUUAACUUAUUAAGCUAAACCCUGUUAACCUCUUGAAAAAUAAAAGUAUAAACAAAAAGUUAUAUAUAUAAAGAGCCAAAUCGUAUUCCGCUCUAUGGAAAGUAGCGCCAAUUAUUUACAGUUUCGCCUUUUGUAAACAAACAGCUUCAUAAAGAUAACUAAAUUUAUAUUCAAGUUAUUCGAUCUAAUAUCCCCAAGGGCGAGCAGAAAUAGAAAUCUAUACUUUUUUAUAAGACGUCAUGUAAAAAAAAAAAAAUAAAAAAAGGUUCAUUAUAAUUAGUAAUACCUAAUACAUAGUUGCGCUUAACAAAAAAUAAAAUAAAAAAAUAAAUAGUAAU
This is a long non-coding RNA of Anastrepha obliqua, 1592 nucleotides long. RefSeq lists it as uncharacterized. The record is from RefSeq and is a predicted model, not a curated record. NCBI's taxonomy places the organism in Eukaryota, Metazoa, Arthropoda, Insecta, Diptera, Tephritidae. The transcript has 3 exons.